This 137-nucleotide ribosomal RNA is filed under the name Nannospalax galili (Upper Galilee mountains blind mole rat). The record is from RNAcentral. Lineage: Eukaryota; Metazoa; Chordata; Mammalia; Rodentia; Spalacidae.
GUCUAUGGCCAUACCACCCUAAACACAGUCUGCUCUCACCUGAUCUCAGAAGCUAAGCAGGGUCGGGCCCAUUUAGUACUUGGAUGGGAGAAUUGCCUAAGAGAUAACACCUCUGAGAACAUAGCGAGCCUUCUUCU